GAGAGGGAAGAUGAGAGGGGAGGAUGUGAGGGAGGAGUAACAAAAGUGAAAACAAAAACUAAAAAUUGAAAUCUAUUUGAAAUUGUUUUCACUUUCAAGUUUUUGUUUUCACUUUCGUUACUCCUCCCUCCCAUCCUCCCUUCUCAUACUCUUCUCAAUCUCA
This 163-nucleotide small nucleolar RNA is filed under the name Prunus dulcis (almond). Its description in RNAcentral is "sRNA ncRNA". Lineage: Eukaryota; Viridiplantae; Streptophyta; Magnoliopsida; Rosales; Rosaceae. The record is from RNAcentral.